UUGAUCUUCUUUGGCACUUUGAACUGUGGCCAGCAAGAAUGAAUUUUUUUUCAAAACACCCGCCAUCAGCAGUCCACAUUUCAAGUGAAGUGCAAUGCUUAGACACCUACAUAUAGUAUACAAGUACUUAAUGAAGUUAAAGAUGUCGCUAUUUUGUUUUUUCUAUACUUAAAUUGCCAGACUGUCUGAUUAACUGCUUCCUUUACAAAGAAACAAAAUACUAUUAACUGCACUUUGUUGAAUUUGAAAUUAAUGUUCUGCUCACAGUUAAGUUUGAUUUCUUGAGUGUCGCUAAGCAUAUUCUCUUAUUGUAAGGGAAACAUGCUAUUUUAAUGAUCAUGCUACCUACUGUUAGUAUCCUUGACAGUUUUUUUUUUUUUAAGACAGGAGUUGAAACCCCGCUCAACUUUAUUGGGUAAUCAACAAAAAAAAGAGAAUGACAAUGCAAAAUCGGGGAAUAAAAGGGCCCCUCAGGCCCUAGCCUUCCCUUUUCCAACUUAGUGAAUAGGUCCAUCAAAGGUUUCCACACAAGUCACAACACUGUAUCAGCAAUCCUAGAGUUAGACAACAUUGUCCACUCACAAAACAAUUCAGUAGCUUGUUUAUUACAAUCUUAGCCAGAUCUAAAUUUUUAAGGAAGCUUCUCUAAUUUCUUUCCUUCCAUAUCCCCUAAAAUUAGGAAACUGCCAAUUAAGAGACCUUUUGUAAGUGCCGAAAGGAAAGAUGACCAAUAUAAAAGAACUUUGAAUUUCAUUAUAUUGCUCACUUAGUAACAUGGCCUAACUGAGGACAUACCCUAGGUGUACAUAUAUGAAUGAGUAUACCAAAACUCAUGUACAUAGAUAUUCAUAGUAUACAUUAUACUUAAAUAUAUCCAGUUUAAUGACAUAGAGGUCACAUUAGUUUGGAUAUGCCCAGUUUAAUGAUGUGGAGGUCAUUAUAUCAUUUUGAAUUUAUCCACUAAUAACAUGUACAUAUCAUGUUUGUUCAAUUUAAUGACAUAAAAAAUGGGUGAUCCAAUGCACGAGGCUCCUGCCAUUGCGAGGUCUAGAGAAGGUCAUAUGUAUGCAAUGUUGCCCCGCAAGCUGAGAGCCUAUUUUCAUGCAUCAAACUUGUGACACCUAGAUUAUAAUGGAGCAACCUUAUCAUUGCAUUAAGGCUUACACUCUUUUAACCACAUUACCUAGUUAUGGUCCCAACAAACCAAGGUCCUAAGAGGGGCAAAUUGAGGAUAGACCUAAUCUUUGUUUUGUUUUUUUCUUCAUGUAUAAAGCAGCUGUCCCAUAACUUGGAGUUGUACCAUUGCACUUGUCAGCCCAAGCCUUUUAUUGCUGCACCAAGCAAUGGUAUCUUUCUUCAAUUUAAUGACAUGAUGGUCAUAUUAUUUUGGAUUUGUCCAAAUGACCGACAGGGAGUCACUUUAUUUUUUGUCUAGUUUAGUGACAUAGUGGUCAUGUCAUUUCUAAUUUGUCUAGUUUAAAAACAAGGUGGUCGUAGCAUUUGGAUAUCUCUAGUCCAAUGACAUUGUGGUCAUCAUUCUGGAUUUGUCCAAAUCAAUGACAUAAUGGUCAUAUCGUUUUGAAUUUUUUUCAAUUCAAUGGCAUAGUAAUCAUUUUAUUUUGAGUUUGUCCAAUUUAACGAUGUGGUGUUCGAUUUAUCCUCUUCCUUCGAUAGAUAGAUCAAGCUCCAAUUUGCUAGGCAAGUUGGCACUAAUGAAAUUUCUCACUCAAUUUCUGACCACUCUAGAAGAAAGACCAUUUAUAGUUAUCCAUUCUUCUUCUCAACCAAACUGCCAAUCUAAGGAUUGAGACAUGGUAGAUCAAUAGGGUAGAAUGAACUGCAUUGAGCAUACCCAAUAUUCCCCCCUAAGACACAAGCUUCCCUCUCCAAACCAACAAUCUUCUCUCCAUUUUCUCAAGGAGAGAUGACAAAUCCUUAUUAGCAAGUCUUUGUCCAACAACGGCAAUCCCAAAUAUUUAAUUGGAAUUUCUUUGACUUACAGUGCAAUGAAGAAGCCAUGUGCUCCCUUAUUAAUUUAUCACAUACCAACACCACCAACGAGGUUUUAUGAAGAUUGAUAGAUAACCUUAGUUCAAAACAAAAGUAAGUUUAACUUCAGCACAGCUACUUGUCCUUUCUCCACCUUCAUAAACGCCAUCAUAUGAUCGGCAUACUGAAGUAGAAUUGUUCCCAAAUCUUGAUCUCGUUUGCAAAGUUCCACUAUCAAGGCCUUUCUUUUGUGAAACCCAAAUAAUGCUUGCCAAAUAAUCAUCAGCAAUAAUAAAAAGAAGGGGGAAAGGGGAUCUCCUUGACGGAGACCCCACUUACAUUGAAUCCAUAUACUUGGUUGGCCAUUGACUAGAACCCCCACCUCACCUGAGCAACCAUGUUUUGAAUCCACUCACAAAAUGAACAGGGAACUCUAUGAAAUCAGGCUAACAACAAGAUGGCCCACUUAAGGCUAUCCAAAAUCAAUCUUCAAGUGUCGUCCUUGUUCAUCUCAUCUCUUACUUUGGUGGAUAAGAUCAUGAGCUAAUAAUAAUUUGUCUUGGAUCAAUCUACCUUUUAUAAAGAUUGACUGAGAUGUAUUCACUAAAUCUGGAAGUAGGGGGUUUAAUUUGUUCGCUAAUACCUUUGACACAAUCUUAUUAAUUCUAUAAAUUAGACCUAUAUGCCUGAAAUUGUUUGGUUUAGUAGCCACUUCCUUCUUAGUAAUUACAACCAGGUAAGCAUAAUUCAAUCUCGAGAGGUCAAUAUUUUUCUCAUAAAGUUGCUUAAAGAGUGUCACCGGGUCACCUUUAAUCAAAUUUAGAGACGGUGGAAGAAAAUCAUUGCAAACCUAUCUAGUCCUGGACUUUUGUCACUCUCCAAGGAGAACACCACAUUUCUACUCCCUUUCUCCAAAAACAGAUUGGCCAAAGAGAAAAUAUCAGGAUGCUGUGCCGGAUAUGGUAUCAAUUUGCUAUAAUCUCACAAUCCCCAGCAGCAGAGAAAAUCUUCUUGAAGUACACCUGGAAAGCUUCCAUAACUUCCUCCUGUUUGUCCAACCAAGUAUCAUCCCACUACAGGGAAGUGAUAACAUUAAAUCCUUAUGAAAACUUGCUGUCUUGUGAAAGAAUGUGUUUCUAAUAUAUUUCCUCUUUGGCAUAGAUGCCCUCUUCCUUCUCCUUUGUCGUUCAUUUGCCUUUAAAUUCCUAGUUCCUCCUUGAUAUCCAGAUCUACACCCUCAACUUCUCUUUCUGCUCUUUUCUAUUAUCUUCUUUAUUUUAAUCCAUCUCCUUAUGGCUGCCCUCACCAUUCAAAGAAUUAAAUCCUUAGCUGCAUAUGUAACUCCCUCAACCUGGCAACAUGCUGUGUCACAAUAUCCUUAACCUCUUCUUCUUCCAACCACUAUUUUUCAAACCUGAAUAAUUUGCUUUUCUUCAGUUUUGACUUGAAGGACAGCAAUAAAGUAACAUGGUCAGAACAGGUGUUAGGAAGAGCUUCCUCAACGGAUAGCCAAAAGACAGUCGCCCACUCUUGUGAUACAAGAAAUUGAUCCAAUUCUGCCAUUGUUGGGUCCUCCCUGUUAUUAGACCAGGUUAACUCUCUUCUUUUUAGGGUUAAAGUCAAUUAACUCCAACUCGCUCAACAACUUUUGGAAGUCAGUUGCUUCACCACCCACUUGAGAAAUCACUCUCCUCUCACCUUUCAGCAGAAUUAAGUUGAUGUCCCUGCAAGCACCCAUAAACCCAAGAAGGUGACCCGAACCUCCUUCAGUUCAUUCUAAAGGGAAUUCCAAAUAUUUUUACACCAGGGCCUUAUGCAGAUGUAGAGAGGUACUUUUGAAUCCAUAUCUUCUGCCUCCACCGUCAACAAAAAUGUUUGAGUUAGUUUUUUUUUUUUAUGUUUGAGUUACUUGAACUUCUAACCAAGAAGUAUAGCACCUGAGGAGGCACUAAUCUGACAUUGAUCAGUCAACCCUCUUCCAAUAGAGUUCAAGAUUUCCUUACAUUUUCCAAAUGCUUAUAUGGUUCAAUUAGGAUACGACCUGAGGAGCCAUUAGAGUUUAGUUUCUGCCAUUCGUCAAUCGACCCUUCUCCAAUAGAAUUCAAGAUUUUCUCGACAGUUUUCAAAUGCUCAUAUGGCUCAAUUACAUUUUUGAACUUUGCAGAUUGUAAAUAGACAAUAAAAUGCUUUCAGACGUAGUGUCGGACUUCUACUAAGGUUUUGUUGCUUGAGAAUUUCCAAACCAAUUUCAAUCAUGCCAUAAGCAAUCCCCUCCAUCUGCUUUUCCAGAAUGUUGAUAGUUUAAAAAUGACUGCAUGAUGCCUUGCCAUCUUGUCAUCUAUCUCUGUAUCUUACGCCUUCAAUGAUCAUCUCUUGUAUAUUUAAUGAAGGAAAUUGCCGUGAUGUAGAGGUAUACUCUUGGGUGUUGUUUGGCACAGCAACAUCCUCUCUCUAAACUGGAGGCCACAACUUUCACUUGAUGAUGUCCUCUGAACAUUAAAUUCAUGUUUGGAUCCAUAGGGAAAAUACACAAUGCAUGAUUCUAUUUUUCAUUCUCAUAAUGUUUUCAAAACCUUGAGGAUCAAGUUAUUAUGGUUUCAUUAACUAUCUCUGAUCAAAUCAUCAACAGAGUAGGUUUGCUUUACUAGAUUGUUAUAGAUGUUCAGAUUUAACCUCCUCUGAUCACUCACUACAAGGACCACCACUGCCUUUUCUUUUUUUUUUUCUUGUUUUCUGGAAAACCACUUAACAAAUUAAUGCAACCUGAUCUGUGAAUAUAAGGUGGUGGACUGCAUAGUCACAAGUUUGGCAUUUAAGAACAGUUCAUAAACAUGCAAAGAUUUGGGAAUUCUGGAAAAAUACAGAAUUUGAAAAAAGCUUAAAAAGAAAAACCACUAGUUAAAAAUUCAAAAAAAAGAACGUGUAGCUACUUACAUAUUCACAUGGAAACCAGCUUGGACAGGCAAUAACUAGCAGAAACACUACCGUAUACAAUAAAUAGCAUCAUUGAUCUGUAAUGAUGAAAAAUCCUGAAUAAACUUUAAUAACUGAAUUACCUAAAAUAACUAUAGAAUCAUUUGGCCAAUGAAAAAAUUGUGAAUGAUACAAAAGUUCGUCAGUAGUUCAGAGAACAUUAUUUCUAAUUCACUAUGCUGGACUUGUGGAGUAAACUAGUUAUACAAAAUUAUGCUGGAAGUCCAUACUUCAUUGUGCACCAUCCUAUUUAGCCCAUCAUUCAUAAAACAUCUAAAACAACCUUAAACUUCAAACAAUAUGGGCAAUGUCUUCUAUCAAUCUCUGGCAAAGUCAUCAGACUUUUUAAUAAAUCUCAAAAAAUAUUGCUUCUAGAUGUUUAUUAAGUUGUACUUACACAAACCAUGCAUACUUCUAUGCCGCUCUAUAUUACCUGCUACUCGCCUUUAAGCAUUUCCAUAAACAAUAGAAAAAUCAAGACUUUAAAAUUAUUAGCAAGUAUUGUCCAUAUAUUGCAUUGGCUUAAUGGAUCUAUUCAAAAUCCAUUGAAGUUUGAGAAUUCUAAUGAUCAGCUCAAAAUUUUACAUCCUCCCCGAAUUGGUGCAAACUUCCUAGGAAAAACAAGUACGAGCAAGUGAAGAACUUGCCAUGAUAUUUAGAAGGCCAAUCAUUAAUGAGGGGAGACCUAAGUCACUGGUCACACCAUAUAAACUCAUAAGUCAAGCAGCAAUUAGGAUUCUUUUUUAUUUGAAAGGCAUUUUGACAAAGAGAGAAGGCAAAAGUUGAUGUAGUGAGUUCCAUUCAUCUCACAAACAAGUAAUAGAGCCACAUCAAAACACGGCCACCAAAUUGGUAGGGUUCUACGUGACAACUGCCCUAGAACCCUGGCAUUUUGAUGCUGCAUUUGAUUUGCCCAAAAUUCCUUAGUUUGAUUUUUGAUGUAUUUGGUGCUUUGUUACCAUUGCACACCUACUAAAUCUCCUGAUUGACCUGUCAUAUACUCCAUUAUAGUGGUUUGCUUCUUAAGGCUACAUCCUAGCAUAGUUUCAUUCCAGAAUCAGGCCUGAAUAACUCUUAAAAAUUCUUUUGCUGCUACUGAUGUUCCGGCUGGUCUGGAUUUUAUCUCGUAAGCUACCUGUCAUAUUCUCCACUGUGCUGGGCUUUUUUUCUUAAGCAAAUUCAUCAAAGAUGGGCCAGAUAUGUGGACAAGUAGGAUAUGGAUGUGAUGAGUGGGACCCGAUAUUUCUGAUGUAACUUGAAAAUCAUGAAUUUAUGAGGAUGUUCCUGAUGUCCUUCAACCUCGUGUUUAGAUAAUCUUUUGUUUUGAAUUCACAAGAAGAUUGGAGCAUGUAAAAACAACCUAAUAAAAUAAUAAUUUCCAUCCAUGGUUUUAAAUAUUUUCAGUGUUCUUUUCAUGUGCAGGGAGAUAUUGCAGAGCUGUAUGGUGUUGAUUUGAGACCGUAUGCCCUUGCAGCUGCUGAAGACUGCAGCAGGAGUUUGGGUGAUUACGUCAGUCUUGAUGUUUUAAAUGCCAUUCAGAGGACAGCUGCCAAGCCUUGGGUAUCUAACAAACCUUAUGACAAAAAUGCUUGUGUACCUGACUUAAGUGUGCUUUCACUUGAUGCAAACAAGCUAGAAAAUAAUCUAGUGGAGGCCAUCCUAUGGUGGACUAAAGUUCUCAAUGUUGGAAGUGAAAGGUUUGCUAUUACCUCCAGUUUACAUUCAGUACAAUCUUCACAAGUUGUCAUCUUAAAAUGUCAUCUGAGGUAGUAACUUCAACUCUGGUCACGACUUUCUACUCACUUGCCUGGAUGUAAUUGCAGGAGCAAUCAGAUCAACCCAGCUAUUGCAUUAGCAUUCUAUGAUAAAUAUCACAAGCUUCCUUCUGCCUGGAAGCUUAGUACUUCUUUGCCAACUACGACAGAUGAUGAAACUAAAGUUCUUCAUUUUGAUGGACCUGCAAAGGUCUGCUCAAAACAAGUGCAUCAGUAUCAAGGAUCAGAACAUGGCAAUGUUUGGCAGAAAUAUCUCCCUCCAAAUUCUAACAUCAUCUUGAGCCAUUGAAACUGCAGAUUUAUACAACACCAUGAUUGUAGUUUAUCACCAUCCUAUGAGUGUUUCUCUGUUACUGACUGUGGCUUCUCAAAUGAUAUCUUGACGUUUACAGACCAGGAAAUUAAUUUUCAAUUGUAAAGGAGAUGCCUAUUUAACAUUAAAUUCCUGCAAGAAGAAAAGAAAAAUUUGCCGAACAUUAAGAGUUCAUGCAAUUUGACUGUUUGCGCAAGCAUAUGGACCUUGUCGUGCUGCCCAUGGAGAAGGAACUCUGUAAAUUAUAUUCAAGCAAAUUGUACAAGGUUGGAGAUAAAGUGUUGAUAUUGGUGGCCUAUAUUCAACAAAUUUUGUACUAGUUGAGCCAAGCUAUUUAGUUAUUGAUUGUGAUUAGGUAAAAUGAUUGAUAUGUGUCAUGUGUUCGCUUUUUUUUUUAUAAUCAAUUUCUUUAGAAGAGCAGAAUUGGGCAUUUAUAGGCCAUUUUGGUGUUUUUUUUUCUUGGCAGUAAAUAUAUUCGAACUUGUGCUUAAUUGUUGUGAAUUAUGAUGCGUCAUGCUUUUAUCCGUACUCAUGUAUGCAUACUUGGGAUAGAAUUGGUUGAUGCUUGUUGCAAAGGACCUGCGCUGGAAUGGAAGAAGCAAGGGAGAGUAAUAUAAUUCAAAGAGCGGUUUACAGUUAGAUUAGAAAUCAGGAGAUCAGCGUUGUGUAUGCUUAAACCGUGUGGUAAUGAAACAUUAAUUGUAUGCUAGUCCCGUUUGUUGGAAAUAAUGGCAGUUGGAGAGUUGUUUCAUGCUCUCACUGGAUAGGCCCAGAAAAGCUGGACUUUUCGAAUUGGGCCAACUAGUCCCCCGCCGGGGGGGGUGGGGGGGGUGUUGGGGGGUGGACCUUUGCCCUUUUUUUUCCCUAUAUUUUGUUUUAUCUAUUUAUUUUAGUUUAGUUUAGUUUGUGUGUAAGGAAUGCCAAGUAAUGUUUAACAACAAUGUUUUUUUUUUCAUUUUACACAGUCUUUAGCACGAUAGAAGAGGCCUCCUACAGUACCAAGCUGGUGUGCUCCUCCAUACAGGAAGCAAUCCAGUCAGCCGUCCUGUGAGCCUUCUAAAAAAUAUAUCUCGCUGUACAAGAAGUUAUGCUUGGUUUGAGUCUCCAAAUAAUGUUUAACCACAAUACUUUUUAGCCUAUUACAGUAAGGGUAGAAGGUUGGUGUAGGGUGAAUUGAAGAAUGGAAAGUUUAAAGGAUGGAAGAAGGAAUAGAUAAAUGAAGUUUUUUUUUUAGAGAAAGAAACUAGUAAUUCUAAUUCCUGAAAUCUAAUCUUCUGUGUACUACUAUACAUAACACCCCGUAAAAUUGAGAGAGAUCGUUGCAACUCCUCAUCUUGGCGAAACUUCUCUUUUUUUUAGAAGGAGACUGUUAUUACAAGCAGAUCACAGGAUGUUUCCUUACUUUGUACAAAUAACCAGAAUUCAUUAGCCCUCCAAAGGGGCAUUUUGGUUGCAUCUGUCGUAGCUUAGUCCUCUUUUUUUUCGCGAUAAAAACAUCUUGUUGUAGCUUGUUGGAAGUAGAUAUUUUUGAGGGAAAAAGUAAUUGGAAGUACAUAAGAAAGCGAUGAGCGGAUGGCAAAGGCCCCACAAUUGGCUACUCGGUGUGCUUAUUAAUGUAGCAGCAGCUUCCGUAGACCGUCACCCUCACUUUUUUCAUCCUUUUUUUCUCAAUGAUCAAGCUUGUGGCUAAGUUUUAACCAAUAUUCAACCUACAUAAAAUGCCAAUGGAUCUCAGCAUCUGCCUUCAGAAGUUGAUAUGAUUUCGAGCAUUCAUGCAUCAGUUAUCUGAUAAAUAUAUGUGUGUGAAGCAGGUCAUCGAUCCCAUGAACUUCUACGCAACGGCAAGUAUGAAUCAUCUUGUUCAUCUUGAUAAGGCUAUGAGCCAUCAUUUUGUUAGAAUUUGAGACGCAUUGAGGUCGGCUUAGCAAUUGGCAGGCAUGGGUCUCUACAGCGCGUGUUAUGAUUCAAGUCCCCACGCUAUUUUUUUUGGCAAGCAGGAUAUGAGACUUUGAAGCAGGCCAUUCACAUAUCUAGGGCUGCAUGAAGAAGUUUAAGUUCACAGAGAGGUAGUUUAUGGGGAACAAAGCAUGCUCUUAAUUAUAUUGCAUGCAUGCUUGCCUCCCCUUUAGAAAAAGAGAUGCUUCCAAGUCUCACAUACUUGCACAGCAAGACCCACUAAGGAAAGCAUGGACGUUGCCGCAUCUCAUACCCAUGUCUAUCCCAUCACUGCGCAUGCUUACCUUCGCAAGCAAGCUCUUAUUGCAUGAAUACGUGAGCUACAAAAAUAUAACUUUAUUUUUCUUUUUCACCCUCUCUCUCUCUCUCUCUAUNNNNNNNNNNNNNNNNNNNNCCUCCUCUCUCUCUCUCUCUAUGUUCUCCUUUCCCUUGGCUUCCAAAAGGAGGGUUACUUUUUAUGGUUCGCCCUUGCUCCAUUGAGGGGUUGCUUUCAUGCCAUCAACUUCACUAUUGAGACAUCUCUCGAGGGGGGGCAAAAAAGAAAAACUACAGUACGUUCUUUUGAACAAAAGAAAAGCCUCACUGCUGAGACUGGUAAACUUGAUGUAUGAUUCAAAUAUUCUUUAAUUUCCUAAAAGUGAUUUAAGAUUCUCCUCUUAAUUUUUUGAUGGCCUUGAUAUAUCCAAAUUAUGUAUUAGUUCUUUAGGUUCUUUUAGGCUUACCGCUUACUCAUGCCACUCAUUUAUCAGUUUUUUAUUUAUGUUCUUAAGCAAACAGCUGUAAUAUUCUUGGACAGCUAAUUAGUUAAUGUAACCCUGCCAGUGGAAAUCUUGUAAUUAUUUAGAGCAAGGGAUGUCAAUGAAAAGGAGACUAAUUGAUAGAUUUGAUUCAAUGAGCUGGCCUCCACAGCUUAAAGACUUUUGCUGAUGUUACAUGCACUGUUUAAAUUGGAGAGGAGGCAAGUCCGACUUCUUCUUUUUUUCUGAUAUAACAAAAUUAAUAUUUUUGCCAAAAUAAUUAAUAGAGUAGUUGCCACUCAUUGUUGGUAGAGACUUCAAUUAAUACUUUGUCCACAAGGCAUCUCACGGCUACUGUUGCUCGGCAAAAAAAUUUUAAUUACGAACUAAAGAGAACCAAUAUUAAGCUACUAAGAGCUCGAUGUAGAAAUGUGCUAAGAGCUCGUUGUAGAAAUAUUUCUUUUUUUUAUAUAUAGGGUAUAAUUUGAUCUAUAGCCAAUGAGACUGAGGCCUUCUGGUUGGCACCUCUCUUUUAAACCCAUGCAUCAGAUAGAGAGCUUCUGGAUUCUCGUAUGAAGGAAAUGAUUUUACUAAUUUUGUUAAUUUAACUGGAGAUAAGUAUAAGUUUUAUAAAUUAUUAGAUAUAAAUAUAUAUUUUUUAAAAAAAUAAUUCAUUUUAAAAUAAUAUUACUUUGUGACAAGAUCAUUGCGGGGACUUGAGUAAAGUUAAUGCUAGGGAUCUUACUUUGUGGGUAGGAAAAUUUCUCUUUUCCAUAACGAGAAUUUACAUAAAUUAUAAAAAAAAAGAGUACAUAUAAAGAUGGUUUAAUGAUAAAUUAUCAAAUAAUAAUAAUAUAAAGUAGGGUUUGGCAUCAAAAGAAGGGAUCGGAAUGAUUCAUGCAAGUUAUCAGUAGGUUCUGAUGUAAAGUGCCAACUCUUUUAUAAUAAGCGGUGCUUAAGUUUUUUCUCGGUACGAACACUGGCAUCAUAAAGUAUUUCUGAGAUCGGUAAAAGAAAGCUCGGAAAAAAUAAACACGCUUUCGUGUGCACUAGCAGGAACCUCCAAAUAUUUUUCUCUGAGAAAAAUGAGUGAUGUUAGAGAAAGGUAGGAUAUGAUGCCCAUGCGGCAACCCCACACGGAUAUGGUCUUGGUUUCCUUAAAAAAUAAACACACUUUAACAACUUCUCCACUCUUACGUGACAUAUAAGAUUUUGACUUGGUCAAGAGAUUUUUUUUAUAGAGAUUAAGAGAUAAUCUUUUCUUACGUAUCUCUUUGGAUGCGACCCUUUAUAUCAAAGAAAUAGAUUGAACAGGUCUUGUCACAUUAAAGGAGAUGAGGUCUUUUCACUCUUUAAUACACGAGUCCUUUUGUGGAUUCAUGAGUCCUCUCCACCCUCUCCCAUGUGAGGAGGCAUAGUUUUUCCUGCUGGUCAUGUGUAUGUUGAAGCUACAAAUGCAUGCAUGGCAGGAAUCCAUGAAAGUGUCCACGCUUUCCGAAGGGAAUCUUGUUAUUUUAGACAGAUCUCUUCACGUUAAGACCGUAAAAAUGAUAAAGAGUACUGCCUUGGUGUUUGAUAGGCACCCAACCAAAUAGGCUACUUUAAUAAAGAAGAUUCUUCAAGAGAACUCAAUGAUCAAGCCAUAUGAACACCGUUAUAGGUGGUCAAAUUUGUAGGAUAGAUCCAAGAGCCUUUCUUACUUUUAUAGGCGGUGAAAUCAGAGCUUGUAGGAUAAAACCUGCGAAGUUAAAGAGAGGAGGACGGCCGGUAGACUCAGGAUCCUUUAUGAUGCACAUCUUGAGUCAUGCUGUAUAAUGCUCGGUGGCUGCCGUCAAAAGAUGGACAGCUAUCAACAGCAAUGCAUUAGGAAUAGUUCAUAGAAUUAUUUUUUUCGAUAUCCAUCUAUUUUCAUAAUCUAAUGAUGUAACAACUAUCACUACAAGAAAACGAAGCAUUAGCGACGCUUUUUUAGGUAAUUACCGAUGCUAAGGAACAGCAGAGAAACUAUGCUCAUGUAGUAAAUAAGAGUAGAGAGAGAGAGAGAGAGAGAGAGAGAAACAGCCAAUUGGAGUAGACAGGCAUGAUCUUGUUGCUAGGAGCCAGUGAGAGGCUUAGUUCAUUGUGGAUAGGUCUCACAGGCUGACUUGUAUGGCUUAGAGAAGUCUACAAACUCUUUAUUCCAGAAAGACUUGGAUUUUAUAAUCUUUGGUAGCUCGUGGAAGUAGUAUCCUAGCUCUUUUGUGUAGUUUAGCGAUAUCAAAAACUGCCCCACGUCGUUGGUCUAAAUAAAUAAGCCAAACUCACAUUUACUAUUCCAUUAGUGGAGCUUAAUGAUUUGGUCGAAGUAUAAAGCCAACCACUUCCGAUGAUAAUUUUCCCCUCAAAAGUUCUUUUGUCCUCACUCUCUGAGGUCGCUAGGAUACGGCCUCUUGCGCACACUGAUGGCCUCCGUUCGCCAAUCAAAACCUUGCGGAGGCAUGCAAGUUUCUUUACUCGUUGUACCAUAGUUUUUAGAGUGAAUAUCAUCAGAUAAAGGCUUAACCAAAUCUAUCUUUUAACAAAAAGAAAGUAAAACAAAAUAAAAGCCAUCCCAAGCUCCAAAUAAGUUUCUGAUACUGAUCAUAAAUUGCAGGAGGAACCUACCUUUAAGACUUGGAGCUUUAUAACCUCGUGAAGAUACAAGAUUAAUUGAUAUUUCUGAAGGAUAGGGUGACUAAUUUAUUUUUUUUAAAAAAAUAAAAUGACAUUGUUUUAUUUUAGAAAAGGAUCUCUCUCUAUCUCUCUUUCUCUCUCUCUACAUAUAAAUAUGAAUAUUCUACUCAGCAUAUUUAAUUUAGUAUUGCCACUCGAGAGUCAUAAUGUUAUUACUGUAAAACUUUUUUAUUAGAAUAUUUUUGUUUCUUCUUUUGGGAGUUAACGAUAAUUUUUCUAGGUCGUCUGAAAAUCUCUUUCAUGUAGGACUCUUUACAGAAAAAUCUGUUUCUGGGUCGUCUGAAAAUCUGAAAAGUUUUGAGUCAUGGACAUAGGACCACCUAUUGCUCAUGCAAAUUGGGAUCCUUAAUUAUUUUGGUCAACGAACUAUAGAAACUUUUACUCAUCAGAAUAUAUCUAUAUGUGUGUGUAAAUAUAUAUAUGGACAUGCAUGCACAUACAUACAUACAUACAUACAUACAUAUAUAUGGAUGUGUGCGAAUGCAUGCGUGGUAGCAAGGCUUGGCCACUAGUGCUCUGCCUCGUUGGGAAGUAAAAACAGGUACAAAUAAAACGAAUUGAUAUCCUAUGAGAAAGACAUCGAGCAAGAAUUAUUUAGCCUACACAUAUACUCAUUAUACCGAAUGUAAAGAUACAUUUGUUUGUAAAAAGCUAAGCAAGUAAUGCCAAAAUAUACCUAUAAUAAGUCAUAGCACAUAUUGUCGCAAGCACCUCCUAUAUCAUACUCAAGGUGGAUUUUUGAAAGAUUUCAACACGAAUGGCAUUAAGUCAUAAAUUUCUUCUACCAACACACAGGAAAUGAACAAUUCAAGGUUGAUACCACGCGGCACAGGAGUGACAAAUUUCUAGAUUCAUUGUGACUUUUGAGCCUAAAUGAUUAGUUGAGAUGCUAAAAAGCUUAAGAUGCUAACAAUAUGAUUCUUUACAGUAUCUUUUCCUCCACCAACUUCAUUGCUCAUCAAUCACAUCCAACACGUUCUGUCCCCACAGUAUCUUCUUACUAAAGUCUUUUGUUUUUUUUCUACUUCAUCUUUAGUCUCGCUGAGAUCAGCUUUGUAUAUAGUUUUCUCUUAAGGUUCCCAACUUCGCGCUGUCUAAUUAUGCCAAAAUUAACAUUAAGCAUGAUUUGGUGUCUAAGAUAGUUUGGCAAAUUAAGGCGAAGCUGAAACAUGGUGAAAGAUUGCAAAAAAGGGAUGAUAAACAAUAGCAUUGAGAUUAUCUUUCUAUUUAGAUUUUAGGGUUCACAACUUUACAUCAAGUCUAUUCGUGCCGAAAUUAAUAUUAAACAUGAUUUAGUGACCAAGACAGCUUUGCAAAGGCAAGUUGAAACAUGAUGAAAGUGAUUGCAAAAGUGAGUGUUCAGGGAAAAAAAGGCUUCUUGGGUCUAAAUAGUUGUUAAAUGGUGUGGCCUACCAACACAAAUACAUUCAAAAAUAAUAAGGCAGUUUUGCAAAGGCAAAGCUUAAACAUGAUGAAUGUGAUUGCCAAAAAAGGGUGGCUAAAUUAUUUGUUAAGUGGUAGGGCCUACCGACACAAAUGCAUGCAAAUUAAUUAAGAUGAUAAAAUAAAGGAAAAUAUCCAACCUGCCAGAUUCGAACUAGCAACUUAAAGAUUAAUCUNNNNNNNNNNNNNNNNNNNNNNNNNNNNNNNNNNNNNNNNNNNNNNNNNNNNNNNNNNNNNNNNNNNNNNNNNNNNNNNNNNNNNNNNNNNNNNNNNNNNNNNNNNNNNNNNNNNNNNNNNNNNNNNNNNNNNNNNNNNNNNNNNNNNNGGAUGAACCAGAUUUUCUUCAUGGCAACCGAUGACAGCCAGUGAGAAGCCCAGGUAAGCAUGGCAAGUAUCAUAAUUAAGGCCGCAAAUAGGUCGAAUUAAACCAAGGCAUGCUUGACCUUAACCUGGCCCAAUUUUCAUGUAUGUCUUGAUAUUGGAUUUGGACCCAAUCUAGUAGAUGAUCAGGUGGGUUAGAUCGAAUCCAAGGCAAAUAAUUUAGACCAAAUAGGUCGUUCAGAUCGGGUUGAGAUCAUGUGUGAUCGGGGCCUAACACAAAUUAUUUGUGUUCGGGUCGGAUUCAGUUCAGAUCUAGGUCUAUAUUUGUUUAUUAAUAAAAUUUCAUAAAGAAAAUUUUUCUUUACUUCUAAAUUAAAUUGAAUUUUGAUUGUCCCAAAAUCGAUUGCUAAUAUGAUGAAAGCUUCAUGAAUUAAUGUUUAUCUAAAACUACAAUCUGUUUCAAUAAAUAAACUCAAGAGAGCUUUUUUAUCUUAAUAGAAAAAAAGAAAGAAAUGUCUUGAAAAACUUUCUUUGAGUCAAUUUGGAUUAGGUCAGGUAACCAAUAGAAAGACCUAAAAUAGAUCUAUAUAGUAUACAGAUCGGGUCAACUCAAAUCGAGUCGAGUCAAGGUUUUCCAGACCCAACCCAAAAUAUAGAACAGACCUAACAUUUGAUCCUAUUAGCUCCAUGUGUCAUCAAGAACAAGUUGGAUUGGCUUUAAACAGGUUAAGUCGGGUCGGGUCAUAGGUCAACCCAACCCAUUUGCAACCUUAGCCACAAUUUGGGCAAAGUCUAAGAGUCACAAUUGAUACACUAUAAUGAAGUCCCCCUAGAUGGUUUAAAAUAUGUGUAGAUAAUUUAGUAAUUUAGGAAAAUUUCAAGGGUCCUAACUGAUACCCUAUAUCCAGUGGUUAUAAUUGAUAACCCUCUUCCAAAAUCCUUCUUCCUCCCCUAAUGGUUUAUCUGCUCCACCCAUUAACACCUCAUUUUCCUAUCACUGGUUCCUCCCACAAUCUCAGUUGGCCCUUGGUUUUCACCAACAAAAUGGACCAUGUCGAAGCUGUGAGAUGAAAAGAGGAAGAGAGGAAGAUUUGUUUCCAGUUCAAAAAAAUUAUUCAUAUACCCAUAUAAAAUGGAUGGACAGGAUUAUACUUAACUUUUUUCGAAAAAUAAUAAAAAAAGUAAUGUAUAUAUAGGAAGUUGAGGCUCCAUUUUAUGAUUUGUUCGGUAGAGAUCUAAUUGCUCCAAUCCAUUUUUUAUUCAUAGUUACAAAAAAAGGAUUUCGGUUANNNNNNNNNNNNNNNNNNNNNNNNNNNNNNNNNNNNNNNNNNNNNNNNNNNNNGGGACGCAUUUUUUUUGGCAGUUUUCUGGAUGUUAAAUACCAAUGGAUGGGUUAUUUUUUAUUGGCAUUGGAAACACAUCACAUUAUGGCAAGGUAACGUUUCACAAUUUAAUGAAUCCUCCACUUAUUUGAUGGGGUACAAUAGCAAGUCCCCAGGAAGAUUAGCUAGAAUUAUGAUUUGCUAUUUCUAUACAGCUAAUCAAAAUGGUAGGAUCUUUUACAAACUUAGCACAUUUCUGAUUUCUCCUACCACAUGUUGCUUUGUUAUAAAAUUCGAUUUCAGAUCAUGCAGUCUUUCAUUUCUUUUACUUUGUGUUGCUUGCUUGAUUUUAAUGUAACUGGCUGUGCUCAUACUAGGAUAAUAUGAGCAGCCGAUUUACCAAAAAAAUAAAAUCUAGAUAACUAUAGUACAUCUGCAUUCUCUCCCUUUCUUUCUAGAAAAGAAUUGCUUCCUCCCUAUAUUUUCAUAUAAUUAUAUAAUUUUCUUAGUUUUAUUUGAUAUAUGCAGGUCCUAGAUUUAUUGAUUACACCUCUCUUCCUUCUAUAUAGACCUUGGCUUGAGAGUGUUACAUGGCAGCAAUAAAAUAUAGACAAGUUUGUAUAUCAAUUUGGGCACGCAGAGUCUGCGAGAGAGAAAGGGAAAUAACUUUUUGAGUUUAUCAUGGAGCACCCUCUCUCACUUGCCCUUUUUCUCAAACGAUUGGAAGGCAUGUGGCUGCUGCUUAAAAUCCAAUGGCUAUCCAAGAUUCUUUGACUCUCUUUUGUCUCCCCGUAUGUUUUUCUGACUUGACAUCGCCCGUUGCAUCAUGCCAACCUUUCACCUCCCCACGUUUUAUUGUCUUCACCAUUUUUUGUCUCCUAAAUUCCUAACUUAAAACAUUGAUUAAAUUCUAUGGAGGAAAAAGAAUGGAAUAGGAGUGGCUGGAAGAGGAAUAUCUUCCUAACAUGAUGCAUCUGUUGCAUUAGUUAAUUUGCUUAUUUGUCAUGUAGAGAACUUAUUGUGUCACUACUACUUUGAAUGUGUUAAUUUGUAGUACUGGGGCAUACUUCAACCUUGUUCUUCAAAUGCCUUCCAUAUUAAUGUCAUAAGAUUUUCAUAUAUUACAAUCUCUUGCCUACUCAGUCUUGAGUUUGUCUCUUCCAAUUCCAAUCCAUUCUAUCAACCUCUUAGUAAUAUAAUUGAUGACUCCACAAUGCCAUUUGCAUUAAAAAGAUGCUUGAACAUUCAAAUAACAUGGUGAAAUUAAUGGAAAUCUGCUAACGCGUGUCAAAAAAAAAAAAAAAACAUUUUCAUGAAACUAGAUCAAUUUUCGAAUGAGCAUGCAGUAGGAAUGUAAAUUAGGAUAGAGAUCUAAUGUGUUGUAAAAUUGUAGGAUGUAUUUUUAGUUUGCUAUACUGGAUAGAUUAAUGAUUUUUAUAAUUUUAUUCAGAUCUUUCUUGUUUCCUGAAUUGUAUAAAGAAUUUUAUCUGCUGUUAUUUUUCGUAUUGUUUUUUGCACCAUUUCCCAGCAUGGUAUUUAUGAUUUAUUGAUGUCUUUAUGCUCUUAAUUUUUUUUAAAAAAAAAUUGCUGUCCUUAUAUUUCAAUUCAAUAAAAGGAUGUUUUUGAAUUUUAUUGUCAAGUAUUAUAAUACUGUUGUUAUUAACCUAACUAUGAGGGACAAUAAUAAAUAUUGAGACCAAACUCUUGAAAAUGGCUCCUAAUUUGCAAUCGGUAAUAUAAGAAAGCUACGAUUCUUAUUGUUGUCCUGAGUAGGUUGUUUGAAGACACAUACCAAUUAUGCAUCAUUUAGCUGCAUAAUGCAAGAUCGUACUAUAAUUAGCAUGUAAUCUACAUGAUUGCAUCCAAAUAUUGUAAAAAUGGAUAUAUAAGAUGGAAAACCCAUGUGUGGGACUUCCUGCAUCGAUAGUUGGAUUAGAAAUUAAAAUAAAAAGAUGUCGGAAAGAGAUAUGACAAUAGUUGUAAUGAAAAUACAUGAUAGUGAAGGGAUGUGAUUGGUAGCCAUAUGAUUUGAAAUAAUACACACCUAUUUAUAAGUGAGUGUUGAUAGAGAGAUAUAAUAGUGGAAGGAUGCAUCUCUUAUAAGUGACUAUUGGUAGAGGGACAUGAUGAUGAAGGGAUGCACCUCUUCACAAGAGACUGUUAAUUAAGGGAUGCACCUCUCCAUAGGUAACUAGUGAUAGUUUAUAAAAAUAAAUGAGAUUACAUCCUGAGUCACUCACUUUUCUUUCAAACACCACAACUAUUAUUCAUAUUAUCAUUCUCUUCCCUUCUUCAUCUUUAUUUCUUUUCAAGAAAGUUUGUAUUCCUAAAUUCCUUAGCAUAUUCAAUUAGAUCAUGGUCCAAUUUUUUUCAAAAAAAAAUCUAUUGUUAAAUAAAAAAACCUAUGAUGAAAAAUUAUGGAAGGAAAAAAAAAAUCAUUCCUCAUCUAUCAUAGAACAAAAUUUUGACCCAAGCUCUAGGUUUGUAGAGUGAACAAAUCUUCUUCUUUUUUUGUCCAUCUUUUCAAAUAUGAAAGAGGUUAAACCCAUCCUUCCCUCACAAUAAGUGAACUCUUAUUUUUAUGGAUAAAUUGUAAAAAGAAAUACUUCAUUGUAUAAAAAAAUACUCCUUUGCUUUUAUUCGGUGUUAGUAAAUACUAUUUGCUGAUGUAUGAGCAUACAAGUGAUUGUUAGACUGGUCCACUGAACCUAAUCUAUCUAAUAAUUUCUCUUCUUGUUCAUUCCAUAUCCCUUACAUGUGUAAUCCAAUAGCGAUCCAAUCUAAAUUCGUGAUCCAUCUCUCCAUUUCUCUGGGUUCCAAAAUUUCUAAUCCAAAGUUCCAAACCCAAAUCUUUUUUUUUUCUUUUUUUUAUGAAACUAAUGGCCUAAGAUAAAUGUGGAAUUAUCUAAAGGUAGGCUUUGUCCAACAAACCGCCAGCACUCUAUCAAAUGAUAACCUUCCCCUCCUCCUCCUCCUCCUACUACUAGUAGGAGGGCCUUCCACCUUGUAGAUGGAUGCAGUUGACUGGUUUUCAUGUUACCUCUUUAAAAGAUUUCCCGACAUAACAACGUGGCCCCCAAAAGGCCAAAACCACUCACCUAUGCUACCUUUUUCUUUAGCACCGUUUCUAGGUUUUUCAAAGAAAUUUUCUUUGCCAUUGCUCACUUCACCAAAUUUGAUGUUAUGUUAUAAAUUACAAAUGAUAAAUAUAACAAGAGGUUAGCAUGAACCAUGCGUAUGAAAAAUAUAAGUAUGAAUGUGUAUGCUAGUCAUUUUAUUUAAUAAAAAAUAUUUUAUUAUUUUAAUUUGAUAAUUAUUUGUUUUCCUUUAUAUCUUAUUAUUAUAAUUGAGAUUCUUCUAUUUCAAUUCCAUUUCAUGAUUCAACUCUGUUUAUUUAUUUGUUUAUUUCCAGCCCCACAUAGAGUUUCAACCCGGCAUCUUUUUUCAUCUCUUCUCAACAUAUUUAUCUUCUUCUUUCUAUCAAGGGCUCACGCACAGCACAUGCAAAAUACUAGUUAUUGAAAAAGGAACGCUUAUGUUGAACUCUAUACUGAGGAGUAAUCAAACUUUACUUUUAUUUUGCUGCAAAAUAUAUCCCUGUUAAAAAGUGCAGAUCAAACUAUCUUUGUAGGGCACGAUCUAGUUUCUUUUUAUUAUUGUUAUUUUCAAAGAUCAUGAACUCAAUUUCUCUCUUUUUUUUUCUUUUCUAUCCUUUUAUUGUGGAGCUUGCUUGCAAUAUUAUGUCCAAAACACUGGUCAUUAUAGUAAUACAAAGUCUGUGCAUAUAUACAUCUUCAUCCCUUGAGUUCUAUUCUAAUUAGGCCAACAUUCCAUUCAAGAUCACCUCUCUCUCUCUCUCUCUCUCUCUUUCUAUUUUCUUUCUGGUAAAUCCUCCACCUGGAAGCCUAUAUAUACCAAGUUCUCCAUGAGCUGAUGGCCUUCUCUCAAAAAUCUAACUCAUCUUGGACUCCAUUUUUUAUAUAUGUAUUUAAUGGAAGUCCCAUGUUCUCUUGCAUGCAUCAAACAUGCUAAACUCUAAUAUCUUAAAUUUUAUAAGGUGUGCUUUCCUUGCUUCUCUCCUUAAAAGUAGGACUAAGAUAAUAAGAUAAAAUAGGAUAUAGUUAUUUUAAGCGAAAGCAGUUAUAGUAGCGAGAGAUGUAAAUAUAAACGAACGUGGUCUUACAUAUAACGCCCUGGAGUUUGGAUUCAAUAUUAAGUACAUGUUGCUUACUAGCUAAGAGUGCAACUAAGAUCAGAUCAUGCCUAGCUCCGUCCCACUUGACUAGGGUUGCAAGUCUGCUAGGUGAGACGAAGUCUAAAUCUAGGAUGCUAUACUUGGUACCUCCAACUAAUAUUUCUUGGACCAAUUCAGAUCCAAGUAGGUCACACACAACUACUUUAUGAAACUUACGUCCAAUUUGAUUGGGGACCAUGUCUGUCUUUGUGACUAAUGCUUGAUUUAGUCUCAACUUCAAAAAUAGGUUAAAGUUAGAGUUGGAUCUUGCUGCCGCCGAAAGCCGGCCGAACCAGACGAGUCGGUGGGGGUUUGGCCGGUUCAUCUUAUCAACAGAGAUCGGUUCUGAAAUGUAAAAGAUCUAAACCUAUGCGCUCUUACUCAGCCUAAUCCACAUCAAAUGACUGAAAAUGGGAUAUCUGUGACCUACUAGCUCUAAGUUCAUCAGACCAGAUUGAUCAAAACUCAACGUAACCAGGUUCUAGCUAGCUCAAGCACCAGGGAGACAGGCCCUAGAAGAGACCUUCUUGUAGAGGUUGGUCAGUGCAGUCUAUGGCCACCCGCCACCCCGAGUUUGUACUCUUUUAGGUACCAUUGCAAAAUUUUAAACACCAGAGAUCGAGAAGUAGUAGGUACUAGAAGGAGAUAGAGGAUGACAUGCAAGGGAACAAGAGGGAAGAUUUCUCCUACGGAGUCCAGUGUCUUCACCAUACCAUGUCUGCAUGUACAGUAUAUAAUACACACACAAAUAUAUAUGUAGACAAAAUAAGUACAACUGGGACGCUACAACAUCUUGUCAACAGGGAUGUUCUUGUCUUGCCAAAUCUACACUAGCUCCCCCACCCACCCCUCGCUUUAUCCUCCCCCUCUUCCUUUUGUCCUUGGCUCUCACUUUUUCCCUCUCCUCCUUUAUUUGUCUUCUAAAAAGUUUCAAGGCCAAACUGCCGAGUGUGGGUGUUAAGGUGCAGUUGGCCUUCUAGAGGGGCGGCCAAAGAGUGCCCAAUUGGAAGUGGAAAGGAAAGCAGAGAGAGAGCGUGAGAGAGAGUUAGGAAGUUGGGAGUUUUUGUGAUUGAGAGAAUGAGGGAGUUGGGGAGGAAACAGGGGACGGUGUCGCCCUGCGCCGCGUGCAAGCUGCUACGGCGACGGUGUGCGCAGGACUGCAUCUUCGCGCCGUACUUCCCGGCCGACGAGCCGCAGAAGUUUGCCAACGUGCACAAGGUCUUUGGAGCUAGCAAUGUCAGCAAGCUCCUGCAGGUCUCUCUCUCUCCUCCCCCCUCCAUGACUUUGAUGGCUUUUCUGCUAUUAAAUUUUUUGAAGUGUUUACUAAGAGGUUUUAGUUGGAGAUGUUUAACGGCAAUUCUCGACGUUAGUGAUAAGAAAUACGAGCUAAAGAAUUAGGGACAUUGUCAAUUGUCUUCAUGGGUUUUUUUUGGAGGGGAACGAAGUAUAUUUGUGUUCAAUUAUGAUUGCUAAGUGCAGUUAUGUUUUAAGAGCAGGGAUGACCGUUUCAUUUAAUUCAAAGUCAUUUUCUAUUUAUAUAUAUAUAUAUAGAGAGAGAGAGAGCAGAGAUGGCCUGGUUUUGCAUUUUUAAGUCAGUCUCAAGUGUAAAAGCCUUGAACUCGAGAGGUAGACUGGUAGAGUAGAAGAGGCGUUUUUGUGGUUUUUAUUGUUUUCGAAGGGUGUUUUCGGGUUUGGAGGACAUUUAGGCAACUUGCAUGGUUUGUCGUAUGUCACAUAUUUAGAACAUUAUAGAAUAAUAUCUCGGUCGCUGUUGUUCUUUUAAGAAAAUACACUCACAGAUCUGUGAAGAGGGGCAGGAAACGUCAAAAGCUUUUGUCGGUCUUUGUGGAAGCACGAAAGAUCUUCCUUACCAUUAUUUUUGCGUUACCAGAACUCCACCCUGCCCGUUCUUUUCUACGCUGCAGCACUGGGGGUGCUGCCAAGUGCUCAUUAUUGGUUAUGUGAGCUAAUGAAAGGAGGUGUAUGCAUGUAUGUGUAUGUGUAUGUGUAUAUUAUAUGUAUGCAUGUAUUUUUAUAUUUAUAUUAUAUAGGUUGGGGGAUUGUUGAAGAAAAUUGAGGUGGGAUGUUGCGGCAAUCCCAUGCAUGAUCCUAUAGUUGCCUAUAUAUAGUUGCUAGAGAUUUAUUUGGUUCGCAAGGAGAAAAAGAAAUAUACAUAUAUAGUCACCAAAAAUAAAAAAUAUUUUAUUUAGUUUUAUUUAAAAAAUAAAAAAGUAGAAUAAGAUUUUUAUAUUUUAUAAAAGAAAAUUAUAUAGGACAUAAAAGAUCUCGGGCCUAUCGGUUGAAAAUUGGGAUAAUUUUUUUUCAAAAAUGCUCUUAAACUUUUAGAAAAAAUAGAAUAAGAUCUUUCUUUUAUUAAAAAUAUAAUAGAUAUUUUAUAUAUUUUUUUAAAAAAUAAAUGUUCAAUCUAACAUAAAUCACUCUCUGCAAUGUGCCACUUUUUUAUGGUCAAUUAAAUAUACAAAACUUAGUUUUAAGAGAUUAUAUCCUCUAGAAAAAAAUUAUUAAUUUAUUCAACACUCAUCCGCAUACAACUAUAGAUAUAAAACCAAAUUAAACAUUAUAAAUUAACAAAGCGGCGAUUGCUGUUUCCACCUUUUAUUGACCCCGGUGACAAACACACUUUAGAAAACAAUACCAUUAGCAUAAAUGUUUGUAGUUUGCAGAAAUUUUAAUUGUGUAUGCUCGCUAACGUAACAAUAAUGUGGUCUUGUAUUGAAAAUUUCAUUAAGAUGCAACCUGAUCAAAUUUACCUGUCCUGGUAUCUUAUUUUUUUGAAAAAAAAGAAGUUGAAAAAGCUUGUAGGUUGAAUAAAGUGGUAGUUUGUAACUUUGUAUGAGACAAUGUUGGUGCUUGGCUCGACCCAACUUGUUCAGGUCGCACCCGCGAACCACAAUUUCUGUCAGCACCAAGAGCCAUCCACCCAUUGCUCAAUAUACCCUCAUUGCGACGCUUAUGAUGCAUGCGGGACUUCCCAAAACAAUCUCGCUGCACAACUUGGAUGCUUCGCAAAAAUGCCCUGAAACAAUUGCAAAUUGUACAAGUGCAGGAGCUGCCGGCGCACCACCGGAGCGACGCCGUGAGCAGCUUGGUUUAUGAAGCAAAUGCUCGUGUCCGAGAUCCAGUUUACGGAUGUGUUGGAGCCAUCUCCUCCCUCCAGCGCCAGAUCGAGGCCCUCCAGACCCAAUUGGCCAUUGCACAGGCUGAGAUGGUCCACCUCCGAACGCGCCACGCCGCCUACCUCGCCCACCUCAGCUCCCGGAGUCCCAUGGUGGUGGGGAUGACGAGCACCGGUGCCGGCACCGCCUCCUCGUCCAUGUCGUUGCCCAAGCAGCAACUGAUGAAGCCUGACCAACAUGGACCCAAGCCUCUUUUCGCCCUUGACAUGGUCAUGGUCGACCAGACCAGCUUGGGCGAACCACCGAUAUGGUCUUGCUAGUCUGACCAUCUCAUUUCAUUGUUUUUUUUCCCCUUUGCUUCUGCUUCUGGGAGAGUAUCUAAGUCAAAUUAUCAGCAAAAAUAUGCAAGUAUUUUGUCCAUGGAGGCCAUAUACUGUCUUACAUGAAGCCAUAUAUAUAUUAUAUUAUCCUCGGUAUUGUUCAAUAGGUACCAUAAUAUUUUACUUGGAAAGUUUAAUUAUGCAAGGCUUUUGUUGGGUCCAAAGUGGUCCUUUUUAUCUAUAAGCAUGAGUUUGUCAAUGAUACCCAUCACAUGAGCCAUGAAGCAGAAUUUGUUGACUCUUGAGCUGUAGAGUAGAAUCUAGUAGCCCCAAAGGAAUUGAACACCCCAGGUGAUGAGAUGGGCUGCUGCAUUUGGCAGCCUUUUCCAUGGCGCAUGUGUUCGAGUGCCACCUGCAUACCAGGAUGACAAACUGUAUCAGUUGGAUGCCAGGAAAACUUAAAAGAGUCAGUAGAUUGAAAGAACAAUGUAAUUUCUUAAUAGUUUGUCUUUCCUUUUUUUCCCUGUCUCUUAAAGGUGCAACCAAAGAAGAGAAAAUUAAGAACUUAUUUAACGAAUAAGGAUUGCCUCCUAUCUUCCUUCCCCAAUCUGUCAAUAAAUAAGCAAAGUUCGCCAACAACCAAACUCAUCAUUGAGGAAGAAAAAAAAGAGCAGAAAAAAAAUUGUCCAAAGUACCUGAUUAUUUGUUUUAAGGCAAUACUUACUUGCUACUCCCUUAACAUGCGCAAAUUCAUAAGUAUCCAAUGAGCUGGUCGAGCUCAAUUUAGCAACACCUACACAAGCUUCCACAAUAUAUAAACGUGGAGUCCCAAACAACUUCACAGUUGGAAUCUUGAUUCACACCUUCUUGCCUUUCCAGAAAUAAAAUCUGCACCCAAAAAUCAGAUCCCCUCCAUUUUUGGGUUGAAACUACUCUGACAGAUUCCUCAAUCCAGCAGCAUCAAAUUUUUAUGGGAUUCACAUGCAGUGACUACCUUCCAUCAGCAACAAUUUUGACAUUUCAUGAAUCAAACAUUCAACACCCGCUAAUAUAUGAUACCAAAGAUCUCCCAAUCUCUUGCAUAAUUCGAAAAACUAAAAUAGUAUCUGCACAGCUGCGUUUCAGAACGUACAUUCUCUACUGCAUAGCACAACCCCAUGUUAUUAAGAUUCAACAUGGAUAGACUACUUGAAACUAGAUGAUCAAGUAGUGAGAGAUCAGCAUCAGGCUCUAUUAUAGAUAUAAUGACGACUGGAAGAGAAUGGAGGAGAAAAAUAAUAAACAAAAAUAGCACCAAUGAUUUGGUGAGACAAUAGGAAAUAUUUAUAAUAACCGAAAACGCAGCAGAUCGAAAUCUUACAACAGCUACGAGCAUCCGUCAACCUAUAGGCCUUUCUUUUACUAUUUUAGCACUCUUGACUGUUGAUGGUUCUGAUUGUUUUGUGCUUCACAUCUGAAGUUGCAAAACUGUACAAAACUUUCAGUUGUGGUCAUGUCAGAUGUUCGUUAUAGUAAGCCAAAUGAGUCCUGAAAUGACAGAAACUUCCCUGCGAUAUUGCUUGGCAUCUUAACCACAUGUGAAGUUGGGAGAUAAAUCAUGCCUGUAGAUUUAGGAGAAUCACAUUGCAGAUCAUCAAUAAUCAUCAUCGUCAUCUCCCUAAAAAAUCACACUCUCCUCCAUUUGAACCUGAACAACCAAUUGAUCAUUCAUCACUGACUACAGUCUUGCUAUGGUCCGCCAUCUGGUGCACUUAUAUCAAUUAAGGAGACAAAAGAAACCUCUUGGGCUAUGCUUCUCGCAGCAGUAGAGCUUACUUCAUAGAAAGUCCCAUACUGGUAUUGAAUAAUGGCCCUGAUCACUGCUCUGGUGGCCCAGUUGCGGAUUGCUCCCAACAAAUUGCAGGGAGUGCAUGUCCGAAGCUGGGCAGGCCUGCACAUCAUUCUUUAAAAAAAAGAAAAGAAAAAUGCCAGUUAACAUAUUGUUCAUCAAAAACCUAAUGAACAAGCCAUAGAGUAGAAAUAACUCAUUGCUAGUUUCAAACCAAAGUUGGCAGUUAUCAUGUCACAAUUCAAACCAACACUUUGUAUACCAUCAAUGCAAAUGUCAGGCAUCCCUUUGCGGAAUCAUUAUCUUGACACACCAUACACAUGGCCUGAUACUAGCGUCUGGCCUCUAUGGGACUUACUUGAGAACAGAAAACUAAAAAUCCAAUUUUUGAUGAAUUAAUUUGACAAAAUCAUUACCUGGCCUAACUCAGUGUUGCCAUGGAAUGGUUGUUGCUGUAGCACAGUGGCCGGAGACUCUUGCACCUGUCAUGAAAACUAUCAACUUUAGACAGGCAACAUAAAACACUUCGAAACACAUGCUUCCAUUAAGCUUACCUGACUAAAUUGUGUCAUGUUAUGAAAACCUUGAACAGAACUUAAUCCAAAUUGAUGACCGGAAACAUAAGAUCCCUGUGCAAUAUUAAGAAAAAGAGGAUUCUAAAUCAAAAUUUCACAAACAAAUGACAAGGAAAUAUUCAAAAUACCCAUAAUCAAAAAGCUACCUGCAUGAACUGACUAGGUGCAAAGAACUGAUUUGGAGGAUUCCUGGGUUGAGCCGGCAUCUCAUCUGAUGGUGCAGGUGGUUCAUCACUCCUAGUUGUAAUUUCUGCAUCACCAGAUAGUCCUAGAAUCCAGGCAACAAUAACGUUAUAAACAAAGACCUACAAUUUUUUGGUCCUAGAAUAGCAUUAAAAGAAAGAAGAGUACGGAAGCAUCUAUCUUUAUGCAAACCUUGUCUUCCUUUUUGCCGUUUAUUUGACUCAAACCCGUUCUGAUUCUUACGACGAGCAUCUCCAUUCUUCUUCUUUUUCCCACCUGCCCUGGGAGAUUCGCCAUUAUUACUUUCAUUGUGAACCAGAUUGUGUGGUUGACCCUUCGAAACAGUGCUUGGGGAAGACUUCUCAAGAAGUCUUGCUUGCAAAAUAUGCUCAACCUGUUCCAACAGCUGAUCUGAUUGGCUUUCCAUGAAUGAAUAUGCCUCUGCAUUUUCUGCAGCUCUUGCUGCAAGUUUGUACAAUAUGCCGCAUAACGAGCUGUAACGCUUAGGCAGAGAUGACUUCGGGUCACCAUCAAGUGCAAAGCUAUGAUUAUCUCUUGCCGACCCAACUUUUGCAUCCUUUGUCCACCUCUUCAAGACAUAUUGAAGUGGGAGUUCUUUAGUAUUUCUUAAAUCAAGUAUUUUCAGCACAUGGAAGCAUUGAACCCCAGCAAAUUCAAACUUUUUGCAGCUGCAAAUGGCCGAACCAUCUGCAGAGUCAAAUCUAACAAAAUGCUCUUUAGUUUUACCCUUGACAGUAACCACAUACUGAGAUAUUGUCCCGACCUCACCACAACUAUAAACCAUACAAUUCAUUAUCAAUUCAAAUUCUAAUCUAAACAUUUCAAAAACUGCAGGAGUAUAAACAUUUGCAGCUUGCCACAGUAAGCGCAAAGGAGGUAUUCUAGAAGUCCUUUGAUUUGCAUGAUAAUCAGCUUGUUGUUCUGCAAAUCGUCGCUCUUCCAGUAAUCUAUCAUACUGCUUGAAAAAGGAUAAAAGAUCUGUCUCUAGUUUCAAGUAUUCCUUUAGUACACUGUUCAAGUUUUCAUUUCUUAUUGUAUUUGCAAUGUCUGCACAAAAAAUUUCACGUGCGUGCACCAAAGCCCACUUCUCCCUUUCCUCAUAUAACUUACGCAACCAUUCAUUGUCCUUUAGAUCAUACUUCUCUAACAUUGUUUCCCAUGCUGAUAGGAACUCCUCCUUAUCUUCACAAUCAUACAAACAUCUACUAAAAUCUAAUGCAAAAGUUUCUGAGCCUUCAAAAACAUGACUUAAGUUCUUCAUGGCAUCUUGGUGGAUCUGCCACAAGCAUAGGCGAUGCAUUGUGCCUGUCCAUAUAGCAGCUAUUGCAUCAUACACUGCAGCAGACCGGUCUGUCAAAACUGUUCUCGGUUGUUUUCUGCACAUUGCAGUCUUGAAAGUCUCAAACAACCAUUUGAAGGAUUCUACAGUUUCAUCGUAUAGUAAUGCAGCACCAAAGAUAGUGAUUUGUUUAUGAUGAUUAACACCAAAAAAUAAUGCAAAAGGCCUGUCGUAAUCAUUUGUUCUGUAAGCUGUGUCAAAACAUACUACAUCACCAAAGUAGUGAUAGUCCAUCAUAGAUUGUGCAUCCGCCCAGAAUAUGUUUGUCAAUUGAUCUUCUUCAUCAACUUGUAUGGCAUAAAAAAAAGAUGGGUUUUACUUUUCAUCUUUUGCAAGUAUUCGAGCAGGGCCCCUGCAUCACCAUUCUUCAUGUCCUUCAUUCGCUUUGACCUGAGAUAGUUUCUGUAAUCAGCAGGAAUUAGACUGGUACUUCGACGGCCUCCAGGUUGAACCUUAGCUAAAAGUCUCUGUGACCUUAACAUUUGAAUAUCCAAUGGAGCUGCAAGCUGAUGAUUGUGGUCAGCUACAAAUUCACUGAUGCAGUAUUUACCACUAGGUGUAAUUUUGAUUGCCAUGCGUGCAGGACAACCAGUUCUGGUUUCUGGACGUGUUUUUUUUUCAUCAUUUGUCACAGUCUUUGGGCGGAAUCCUUCUCUUGAGCACACAUAAACUCUUGAUCUAGUUACAUUUCUUGAAGAUUUAUCCCACCAACCUUUUCUAAUACUGAAACCAACAGUUCCAGCAUAUUUAACAUAGAACUCGUAAGCCUUAUCUUCAUUUGCAAACACCAUGCCAACAUUUGGCUCCCCUCCUAUAUUUGUAGCAUCUUCAGCAGGGACAGCUGGAUCUGCUUCUGUCUUUUCAUCCUGUCUACUAGAAAUCUAGAAAAAAAUAACGAUUUCAGAAAAAAUCAGUGUGCUAUGAAAUUAACAGCAUAAGAUGCAAGGAAAAAUGUGUAGGUAACAAAAGGAAGAAGAGGCAAAGAGGUUCCGGUUAAUAGUGGCUUGCACAACAAAUCACUUUUAUAGUUACUUGUAUAUUCUAAAAUGUAGAGACUUCACAAGCCAUGCUAUGAUUUCACUUUUUCCGUCCAGUUGAAGCCUUGAACACCAUUUUAAGUAAUAACCGAACUGUAACAGUAGCCAUGGUUUAAAGUAACCAAAUAUAUAUCAUAGCAUACUUCUUUUCCGGGAUCAUCCAGAAGAUCUCAUAUUAAUAUGAAAUUAUGAAGCAAACAGUACCAGGACAUUCAUGUGCAAUAUUAUGUAAUGAUAUGAAACAACUUUACUAAUGCUUUCAUGACAAGAAUCCUGUUGGGAUAUUGCAUUUUCUCAGAAGAGAUCCAUAUAAACAUAGUGCUAGUAUUACUCAACCAUAAAAUAAUUCUUCAUAAUAAUAUAUGGUUCUAGAUGGAGAUAUAUCAAGGUUAUGUUAUUUUUGAAUGAAAAUGUAGGUCAAAAUACAAUAAAUAAAAAUAAGUUUUUUGUGAAUUAGUCCCCAUAAUCUUCUUUAUUUGCAUAUUAAUCCUUCUCUUUUCUCUAUUUGUAGUUUAAUCCCUAAAAUCUUGUAACUUAUUGCUUAUAUACCACUCACGUUAAGCUAGCUAAAAGAUAAUGGUUUCUGGUUAUAUUCUUCUAAUGGUGUUAAUUUCAUGUCUUCUAGAUUUUGUUCCCCUGAGCUCUCACACUUAAUCAAUCCUUUAACCCAUGCCCAUCUACCAUCGGUCUCCUAGAAGCCAAGUGCCAAGUAAUGAGAGAGCAAAGCCAGCAAGAACAGAUUCAAUCUAAAGCCCCAUUUGUUGUUAAGCUAUGGGCAUUUUUGUCCUUUUACAACCCUAGUUAACCUUAACCAGGGUUCGGUCAAUGAAAUCUAGUGGAAGGAACGAUUUAUAUAAAUAGAGAACUAUACGAGGAUUUUUAUAUAAAUAUGAAAAGGAAAGGAUUAAUAUGCAAAUACGAAUGUUUUUAGGGACUAAUAUGCAAAAACUCAAUAAAAUGUUAUCUUCUUUUUAGGAUAAAAAAUAAGAUUAUUUUGAAGAGAAAACGUGUAAAAGAGUCAACUUCUUCCGUGCUGCAUGGAUUAAAUAUUUCACGAUUUCAAAUAUGUCAUGUUUACUGAUGAUCUUCACGUAUAUUAGUGAUGGCUUUUGCAUGUUUCUAAAGUUUUAACAUAAGUAUUUGUAUAACAAGCCAAAUAAAGAAGAGAUAUUCCUAAAUGUCUGUAUCAUAUGAUUAUUAUUUUGCAAAUCACCAUACAUGUAAUAUUUGAAGAAAAGUAUUUCGACAUCAUCACUAUCACUUUUGUUGUCAACAUCAGUUAAUUAAAAUAUGAGUGUUGUUAAUGGUAUUCAUUUUAAUUACCCUGAUAGCAUAUUUGUCUUCGGUUAAAUAUCCAUCAAAAUUGCUCUAACAAAAAAAGGAAACUCUUAGGCAUGCACCCUAGGCUGGACAGCAUCCUAGGUGCCCGACUUAGGAUCCAAGUGUCUCAGUCACUAAGCAAGUGUCUGUGUGGCUGCCCAGGCUUAUUACGGUUGAGUGAGGCAGGUCUGAACAUUGCUUGGCAGGUUGGAUAGUGUUGUCAGAAGAAACAAUUACGUUUUAAAGUACCACUUCUUCCUGCAUUAAGUAUCUAACAGAAUAAGAGAGAAUCUAGAACAAUUGCUGGAGGAAUUCUAGGACAUUAGCAAGCGAGGUAGAAAUAGAUAUUGCAGUAGCAGCCCCGAAAUCUAUAUGCAAGCCUAUUCCAAUACUUCUAACCUUCAAGGAUUAAAAUACUACAGAUCAAUGCAAUAUCAAGAAAGGAUGGGUACAGUAUGCUAGCAGCAAGGAUUGUACUGACAAAGGGUAUUGAUGGGUAUACAUAAAUACGCCCCGAACAACCUUGGUAUGGCUUUUUUGGCCACCAAACUCUAGUUUUGAAUUCUUUUAUCAUGUUUUCUUACCAAAUGCUAUAUUUUCAGAAGAACUAUGAUAAAGUCAAGGUUUCUUGGGUGUGUUAAAGUCUUCUUCUUCUUUUCUUUUUUUUUUUUUUUUUGCUAGACCUAAAGGGGAAAGGGGGAGGAAGGGACAAGCCCAUCCCUGCAUAGCAGCCCCCACUGGGCCCCUGCCCCGCCAGGAGAAUGUUCGAUGCGGGCAGAACUGACCGUGUGUUGGGCACGCCGGCCAUUUUUACUCAUACCUUCCCCACCCGUGGCCCGACUCAGUUACCCCUCUGGGCCCCGACCCGAACCUCCGUGUGAGUACGUCACACCCGGCACCACCGAGGCUACCAGCGGACCAAUAAGCCCUCCCACCCCACGUGUCCGAGCGGGGGGCAUCCGGUCCCCUCAUUUAAUCGACGCCCGCGCGUUUCGAACUCGAACCGCACAUGUGGAAGUAAUGGCCCAGUUCCACUGAGCUACCACCUCAGUGGCUGUUAAAGUCAUUAACAUGCAUAAAUAUCACAUAACUUGCAAUCCAAAAUACAUUUAAAAGAAAAGACGCAUUAAAGUUAGAAAUUGGAAUGAAAGCAAAUAAAGAAAGAAUAUUUCCAUAACAUCAUUUCAAUCCAAAAUCAUUCAAAUGACUGUUACUAUCAUGACAAUAGAGGAGGUAAUUGUGUCAAAGGGCAAAUUGAAGGGGUAUAAGUGUAUUUUUCCAUUCAAAAUUUAGGAUAACUUCAUGUCUUGGCUCGAGUAAAAUCUAAGCGUGACAAAAUCAUUCCUAUUAUGGAUCAAAUUUUGGUGGCAUAUGCCUAUCAUUAGUACAAACAUUAUUGUAGAUUAGAUGAUUUAGUGUGAAAGCCAUUGUAGCAACUCAUUUCUCUUCCUGCCACUUGUUUCCACUUUCAAAUAGUACAAAAUAAGAGAGAAUCACACUGUAACCCGCUUCCCAAGAAAUGCCCAGGUGUAUCACUUGGUCCGAUAGCAAGUCAAGGUCAGUUUAGGCGAAAACCGACCAAAAUCCACCCCCAAACUACUCAAUCCACCUUGAUCUAGGCGGUUUAGACAUUUUCUGCCUAAAUUAAGCCUCCCUCUACCAACACUUUUCUCACUCCCAGUCACGAUACUGAUUGAAAUGGGUGGUACGAGAUGAUUCCGCAAAAUUUGGACUAAAGCAGACCGGUUCGGCUCAAAUAAGGAACCAAAUCUCGAUACUGCAUCGGUACCUUAUCAGGCCGAUAAGGCAACACUUGGGAGAUCAUUUAGUGAAUAUAUCCUCUAAGAAAUCUACCCCUGCCAAGGUCAAGUUUUAGGACUGGUCAAAUGUUAGAUCCAACAAGGGAUCAGGUUUUUCAAAUCAUUGAGCAUGCUUCUAGGUCCUCUUCCGCUGCUUCGUUGUUUCCAUCUGCAAUAUGAAAGUCUCCUUCAAUUGCUCCAUCUUGGUUUCCCUGUUCUGUUGAAACUUUUGCUAACAAGUUUUUGCCAUGCCAGAAUCAAAAGCUCCAAUACCAAAUGGCAUAUAGCUGCUCCAUUUUAUAGACUCUAGAGAACCCUAAUAACUCCUGGUCAUAGUAGUAAUUGACUCCUAUGCAAUAACUAAAGUAUACCUAAAAAGGAUAAUAAUACAAAAUUUCCAGAAUAACAAAAAGUUUCUAAAGGAUUUGGACUGUAUCAUAAAAUCCCUUAAAUGUGACUACUAAACCAAUUAAGCUCAUCUCCAUCUUUAGCAGCCCCCUUUCUUCUCCAAAACAUCACAAGGUCAUAUCAGUUAGGAUUGUUCUCAAUCAUUUUUAUUUGAACCUCUUCAACUCAUCGCAAUGUCUUCUUUCACCCCAAGUAGUUUACAACCAAUCAUUUUUGGUCAGUAUCCCUCUCUCUACCCUAACUAUGAUUCAUGCAGUUCUCUUUAACUAUUGUUGUCCCUGCUCACUUCAGCUCACCAAGUAUCAUGCACUUAGUGUGUAGGCGUUCAUUUCUUGUGACUAGAGUCUAAUUCUUAUACAUAUACGAUACUUUGGACCUGAUAGGUAUAGCUUGUUGUAAAUAUUUUCAAAAUCAACCAUUUCAAUAAAAAAAAAACAUGAGUGCCAGUACUAUGUAACAAUCAACAUGACAUAUCAUCGGAGGUCAUUGUCAAAAGGGCAAAUACUGUAACAAUAUCUAGCACCAUUUGUGCAUUCUAAAUGAAGAAACUGGAAAUGAUUUUAUUAUAUUUACGUGGUGCAAAUCACUGUGUUUCCCUACAAGAAAUGAUUUUUGCUAACUAGUAUUUAACUAAGGAUUCUUAAAGUUAUAAGAAAUGGAGAGUUUGAAUAAAAUGUCAUUUGCAUGAGUUCUCAUUUCCUAAUAUGAUGCAGCUCUCUUAAGAGUAUUGAAUAUGUAAACAUAAACCAAUUUCUGUUCACUGAAAUUUCAAAUUUCAGGUUUUAUUGAUCAUGAUAGGAAUAUAUUAAAAUUCUAUGCAAAUAAAAAAACUUGCAUGUGCAAAUAUAAUUCUAAGUUAUAACUUAUGGAAGGAUGAUUUCCAGCUUUGCACAUGGGAACAGUAUGUGGCAUUGUUUAGCUUNNNNNNNNNNNNNNNNNNNNNNNNNNNNNNNNNNNNNNNNNNNNNNNNNNNNNNNNNNNNNNNNNNNNNNNNNNNNNNNNNNNNNNNNNNNNNNNNNNNNNNNNNNNNNNNNNNNNNNNNNNNNNNNNNNNNNNNNNNNNNNNNNNNNNNNNNNNNNNNNNNNNNNNNNNNNNNNNNNNNNNNNNNNNNNNNNNNNNNNNNNNNNNNNNNNNNNNNNNNNNNNNNNNNNNNNNNNNNNNNNNNNNNNNNNNNNNNNNNNNNNNNNNNNNNNNNNNNNNNNNNNNNNNNNNNNNNNNNNNNNNNNNNNNNNNNNUAUACAAGUAACCAAGCAGUACCGUGUUCAGAACUGGCUAAAUGCGAUAUAUCCAUUGUGAAAGAAGGGGACUAGAGAAAUAGAGAAGGAGAGGGGAGAAUGUCUCUCUUAAAGAAUAAUUUGUUUGAAUACAUUCUUUGAGUAAUUAUAUAUAAAAGAAAUAUAUGUUAAUAGAAGUUUGUUAUCAAACAAGUUAGGGGUGACCUAUCCAUCCCAUCCCAUUCCUAUGAGAAGACAGGAUUUGGGAGGGAGGUUCUUCAAAACCCAUCCACGAGGCGAGAGAAGAAGAAAGAGGAAAGAGAGAAAGGAAAGAAGAAGCAAAGGAAAAAAAGGGGAAAAGAAUGAAAGAAGAAGAAAAUAGGAAAGAAAAGAAUGAUGGAAGAAGAAAAAGAAGAAGGAAGGAAAGAAGGAAGAAAGGAAAAGAAAGAAAAAAAGGGAAAGAAAGAAACGAAGGGAGAACAAAAAGAAAGAAAUGAAAGAAGAAAAGGAGGAAGAUAAAAGGCAUCCCGUUCUGUAGAGAAACCAAGACACAUCUAUCCCAUGAGAUUUAAAACAUUGAUUUCGAACUUUUUUAACUAUAGUAAAUAUUAACAUAAUAUAUUUAUUAACUAACGAUUGAUUGCCAAACAUAUCAUUGUUAUGUUUCCUGUGCUACAACAACAAAAAUAUUAUUUUAUAUCAAAAAAGUUAUUUUGAAUAAUUUAACUAUAAUUAAUAUUAAAAUAUUUCUCGAAUCUCUUUCAUGAGAGAAGAGAAGAAAAAGAAAAAUGGUUAGGAUGAUUACUUUUGGGAGAGCAAGAUCAGGAAUAAAUUACUCCACCCCUCCCAGUUGAGUAAUUUACUAGGUGGAAUCUGGGUUAAUCAGAUUAAAUUUAUGUACUAUGGCAGAAUAGCUGGGUUGACUCCUUUUUAUCCUCCCUUACUCCAUUUCCAAACAUGGCCUUAGAUGUUCGUAUUAAAAGUCAAGAGUGCAAAGACAUGGCAAGCUACUAUUUGAACUAUGAAUAUUGCAUAAGCUUUGCUCAAGGCCUUAGGGGGGAAGAAUUACCUGUGACUCAUCUCUUCUAAGAAACCUUCCUCCAAUGCCUCGCUGGCGCCUUUCAGCCAAAGCUCGUCGUGAAGAAACCUGCAAAGAAGAAGCGUAUUGCUGUGCAACUGAAAUUGAGCCACUGAACUAUAAAGUGCAGAGAUGCAGCCAAAGAUACCAGUAGUUUAACACAAAAUGCAUUUCUGUCAUUAACAUUCUGAUGUCAGAACUACAACUAUCUGAAAUCUACUCAUCUUUCAUAGAUCCAAACAACAUGUGUUUUUCUUUUUUCAAAUGAAGUGCAUGUAUCUGACAACAUUGAAGCCAAAAAUUUGCAUCUUUACCUUAACAGGCCUCUGUACACCCUGCCUAUUUGUCCGCUUCAUCAUGUAUCUGAUAAUAAUAUCCCUCCUUUCCUCUUGUGUGUAUCGAGACACUCUUACACCAAGUUCCCUUAGCAGCCGAGACUCAGCAGUAUUGGCUACUGGGAUUGCCUUCCCAUCAUCUUUCUGCUUCUCACCAUCCUUCCCAGCAGCAGCUGCCACUGCCUGUGCUGGCAUACCAAUAGAUGGAAUAGGAGGUUUCUGCCCCACAUCCUUCUCCGCGACUGCUUGUUCUUUUACUGGAGGACCACUAUGGACCUCAACCCCACGGUCGCCGCCUGCCACCCCUACCUUCUCUGUUGAACUCUCAACUUGGAUGAUCUCCCCCACAUCCCCAUCUUUCUUUGCUGCGGCUGUUGCCAACCUGCGAGCUCUCUUCUUAUAUGGUCCCCGCUUCUGUUUCCCUGCAUUAGUACCUGUGAACUUUCUGUACAUAAGAUAAUUCCCUCUCCAACACAAGAACCUCUGCAUGAUUAGAGCCCCACUGCCCGCCGACCGCCUGUUGGAGCCCGUCCGAGCCUUAAAGCCGGACUUCUCACCAUACUCAUAAUAGAAAGCCUUUGCAGCCUCCACGGAUUCAAACUCCAUGCCCAUGACCGGCACCAAUCCUGCACCGUCUUUACCGGCAUCCUGGCGUGGCAAGAGCUCAUGGUUGUGCUCCACGACGAGCUUCGACACUGUCCACUUCCCAUGCACCUUCCCGACCACCUCCAUCAUCGCCUUACAUCGGUGCUCCGCCGGCGCCUCCCCCGCCGGCGGCCCCCUCCCGGAAACGGCGACGCCUGCCUGCCGCAUAUAGAGGUAAUUCCGCAUGAUGCAGGCCACCCGGAGGGCGCACUCAUUGUAGAGCGUCUGCCCCGCCGCCGACCCCUCCGUCCCCUUGGCCGGGGAUUCCUUCACCUCUCCGGCGGCAGCCACGCUCUCCGCCGGCUCCUCCGGCUUCUCCAGCGUGCCCUUCUCCUCGUCCACCUUCAACUCCUCUUCCGCUGUCUCCUCCUCCUUUCGCCCCUCCUCCUCCGCCUCGUCCGGUGCAUCGCCCCUAAUCUCCGAAAUCAGCACCAUUUCCACGAACUGAAAUCGAAAUCCAACCCCUGGAACCAGAAAGAUUCGAUCCGUUACACAAAUCGAAGCCCUCCGAACUCUAGAUUUCCGAAUUGUGGGCAAGAGAUUUGAAAUUCGAAACCCUAGAGGUAGAAGACAUCGCAGGAGAUGAGAGAGAAGGGAGCAAACCCUACAAAGUUUGGAGGGAAUGUAUCUUACCGGGCUUUUUCUUUUCUAUAUUUUGUGUGUAUUUUUUUUCUCUUUAAAAUACGCGACCACGCUUGCGACGCUUCCCGCAGGGGAUGGACGGACGAGGAGAGCUCUGCGCGCGGCGAGGCACAAAUCAGCGGGGCGCGGCGAGCCGCCCGGAACAAGAGAGCAGGGCCGUUCCGCUGCUGGUGCCACUUGCCUACGUGGUUCGAGCGGGCCCCUCGCAAUAACUAUUUAUUUAUUUUUUUGGUGCACCGGUUUUUUGCAACAUAAAUAUAUUAUAUAACCAUAGCCAGUAAAACUAAGGAAAAAAAAAAGUUGCCGUAGAAGAAACCUCUAAAAUAAUACGCUUCAAAUGAAGCCGCCCAGUCAACUAUUAUAUUUAUCUUCCGGUAAAUAUAAAUAGCUCUAAAAGAGCUAUAGUUCUCAUUAUGAAGUAAAAACUGCCUGUCCAUGUGGUGCAUCGUCCUCGAAUUUUUUCGAUCAUGGUAGCCCAAUCUCUUCUUCGAAUACCUCUAUUUAUUCGAAGGGCCGAUUUGUAGGAAGAACUUCUAAUCUUGGUGAUGAGUUGACAACGCGGAUUAAGAGAGCAUUUCUGGUGCCACGUCGUUAAGAUUCGGAUCGGAGAGAAUAAUGGUAGGAUCCAUUACGCUUUACGGGAGUAGCAGGAGUCCUCACGUGGAUAUCACGUGAUGAAGGCGCGCAACGACUCGGUGCACUUAGGGGGCGUUUGGUAAUCCCAACAGGAUCACCACGGUGAUCCGAAUGCUGGGUGAUUUGAUCUCCAGUGAUCUAAGAUCAAUGUGUUUGGUAGGCCAUAGUCCAGUGAUUAAAAAUUUCUGUAACUUAUUUAGUAUGGUAUGGGGAUCCAAGAUCACCGACCACAUAAUACCACAAAUAUCCCUGAUAUAUCCUAGAUGGAUUUUUUAUGUGUUUUUAAUUCUCAUGAAUAAAAAAUAUAAGUCAAUAUGCUAAUUCCUAUAAUAGCUCCAUAAUUUUGUCACAUAUUAUACUUUUAGUAGCCCUUAUUACAUAUUUAUUAAUCAUAUAAAAUAUACUAUAAUAAAAUAAUUAAUAUGUUUAUCAAUAUAUUAAUUAAUAUAUUCUACAAAAUUAUAUUUAUUACUCCUAUAAAUUAUUAAUCUUAUAAAAAUAUGUUAUUUUUCAUUAUAGAAUUAAUAUUUUUAUUUACACUUAUAAUAUAUUUUUUAAUACUAAUAAUUAUUUUGAUUAGGAAAAUAAGGUAAAUAGGAGUAAUUCAAUAAAUAUUUUCAUUAUAUAAGUAUAAAAUAUAAUAAUAUAUUUCUACUAUAGCUUAAAAUUAUUCUUCAGUAAUAAUAGGAUAAUAAUUAUUAUCAGUAAUAUAUUAGAAUAUAAUAUAUAUAUAUCAUUAAUAUAAUAUAUAAUAUCAACAUAAUAUUAUAUAUAUAUAUAUAAUAUUGAUAUAAUAUAUUGAUGGUAUAUUGAUAUAUCAAUUUUUCUGCUAAAUUGAGGGGCAUUUUGGUCUUUAACUUUCAACCCAGGAUCACUGCCUUGGGAUGAUCUUGGAUUUCCGACCUCAAGGACAGAUAUCCUAUCACCGAGUUGGGCGGUGAUUUGAGGAGUGGAGGUAAUUUAGGAUCACCGCUACGUAAAAUCAUCAUGGUGCAACCAAACGUGGUGAUCUCAUCACCUCCAUCCAUAUCACCCUUGAUCCAGAGACAGUCACUCCAUACCAAAUGCUCCCUUAGGGUGUGUAUUUUUUUUUAUUUUCCCUUUCACGCUUCGCACCAAAGUCGCCUAGAAAAAUUUUAAGCGUGAAUUUGAAGGCCUAAGCACAAGCCAAGAUUUUAUAGGGACCUGACCUUAUGACAGAACAACAGAACCAUGAAAGAAGCCCCAAGUCGCAAAGUUCUCAGACUGCUCGUGAGCUCAAACUAGAUCCAAACUUUGAUUUAUAAAUUCUUAGCCUCUUCAACCAGGUAACGAGCAUUGAAUAAGAGUUCUAUCCUUCCACAUUCUCCGUGGCACGCGUUAGUGUUCCAAAAUGUUUGAGGCUGGUUGCCAUAGUAAUAGUGAUAAAGGCCCACUCAUUCAACAUGGCAUGGCCAGAGUGGUUCGACCCGAAAGGAUUGAUGGUGCAAUGGAAGGAUUAUCGGCUCAUCCGACUCCCAUCUGUUAAAGAUCCAGUCGAUAAGGCCAUGAUUAAAUGAGCAGUGUAAUCCACAAAUGCUUAAAUGAACAGUGUAAUCUUCAGCCAAAUCCUGUAGGAAUAUCCAAAUAAACUCUUAGUUAUUAAAAAAAACCCUGAAACACUUAAUCUUAAUAUCUAAAACUGAUUCCAUAUGCAUUUCUUCAACUUCAGAUGUUAACAAGCCAGAAACUAUUUUUUUGGUAACUGUCUUUCAAACUGAUGAACUUCCAAGUCAGCUCCAUUGUUUAUGCCCUCAGCAAUCCCACAUAAUAAUCACGAGCAAAUUCAAACACCCAUCCCCUAGAAACCAAAAACAAAAAACAUCACAGCGUAGUCACUUGGCUGAUUUUGCUGUGGUGCUGAUGUCCAAAUCUGUACAAAUAAAAAUAACUCUGCACUUAUGACUACUUCUCCAGAGACAUUAUUUCUUCCAUUUUUUUACAAAAUGCUGCCAUCAUUCAGAUAUUAGGAAACUGAUUUAUUCUAAUCCGAAUAAUCCAUACUGCAGAGCUCAAAAGCUUUGAAGAUGAUUCUUCCAGGACCACCAGACAUUAGAUAAAAACCUCACCUCUCAAUAGCACAACAUAAAUUUUACAUGGCAAUCUUCACAAAUUUUGACAAAGUACUUGCGUGUUGAAUCCCAGAAAAACAUUAACACCAUGUACCCCAUAAGUAUCAGAUCUGUGAAGGUCAGAUCAUCAAAUGGUGUCAUCACGUUUUCAUUUCAUCAUAACAAGAGGGAAAAUGAAAAUUUUAACAAUUAGAGAAUAAAUCAAAUAACUGCCAUAAAGAGUUCAGAUACCUGAAAAUCACAUCCCCAAUCAUAACAUCUCAUUCUCAAGGAGGAAAGGUUUGUGUAAUGAGGAAUACCAGAAUAUCCAAUCCUGCAUCACUAUUUUUCAAGCAAAAUCGUCAUAAAAAAUCAUCAGUUAUUCCAAAACUUAAUGGGCGUUCACGAAAUACAUAAAGAUAUGGUUACAAUAACUGUAUUCUUUGAUAACCGCAGCUAAAUAAGAUGUGCUUUCUUCAAAAAUCGGAUAGUUCUGCAAUAGUAUGGCCAAAUCGAUUCGAUGUAAUCCAGAUAUUUCUCAACUGCCCACUCUUCAAGUUGUUUGAACUUUUGUCUGAAUAGAGCUCUGUAAUCUAAGUUUUUGAUGACUAUUAUAGGCUUCCAGAAGAGGGCCCAGAGAA
RNAcentral lists this long non-coding RNA (39002 nucleotides) under Phoenix dactylifera (date palm). RNAcentral's name for it is "long non-coding RNA (PDAC_LNC001359)". Lineage: Eukaryota; Viridiplantae; Streptophyta; Magnoliopsida; Arecales; Arecaceae. The record is from RNAcentral.